AAAUUACGAGUAGCAUUGUUAUCUAAAGAGAAAUAAGAUUAAUACAGUAUUGGUUGUUUAAACAAAUAGAGUUAAUCCAUCAAAACUGAGCAUGGAUAAUGGAGUUGGAGGUGUGAAGGCCAACCAAAAUCUUGAAGAUGGUUGAGAUUUGUAGUACCAAAAAGAAAAAGACAACAGAGAUUAAUAGCAUAUCUUUAUUAUAAUAUAAGCAUCAUACCACAUUACAAAGCAACAAUAGAAUUAAAGUUGGUAAUCCCCCAUCAAAGAGACAAACAAUCCCACCCAUUAUUUCUAUUUAUCGUAUGAAAUUAAAAAGCAUAGAGUUUAGAAAGGAGGAGGAGCUGGAUAAACCAAGAAAGGCCUUCCACAAGAUGAGAUUUUUGGAUCGCAAUAAUCCGCAUGGAAUGCAUCCUUGAGCUUGCGCAGCCCGUUGUUACCCCCAAUCCCUAGUAACAGCGAUAUCAGAGCCACUAUAACGAUGCACAUGCAAAGCAUGUAUAUUCUACAACAAAGACACAUCUUUAGUCUAAACAACAACAAAAAAGGAGUUUUUUUUUUUUAU
This 562-nucleotide long non-coding RNA is filed under the name Gossypium barbadense (sea-island cotton). RNAcentral describes it as "long non-coding RNA (GBAR_LNC001603)". The record is from RNAcentral. Lineage: Eukaryota; Viridiplantae; Streptophyta; Magnoliopsida; Malvales; Malvaceae.